AAUGAUUCUCUAAAUGAAUGCAAAUGACUAGUGUCUACAAGGAAUAUAAAUCCUUCCAUUCCCCACUAUCCAGUUAGAGCUGAAGAAGCUUCUUGGAUGAGAAGCAA
Molecule: non-coding RNA, 107 nt
Organism: Notechis scutatus (mainland tiger snake)
Lineage: Eukaryota; Metazoa; Chordata; Lepidosauria; Squamata; Elapidae
Source: RefSeq, a predicted model, not a curated record